CCUACGGGAAGCAGCAGUGAGGAAUAUUGGUCAAUGGACGAGAGUCUGAACCAGCCAAGUAGCGUGAAGGAUGACUGCCCUAUGGGUUGUAAACUUCUUUUAUAUGGGAAUAAAACGUUCCACGUGUGGGAUUUUGUAUGUACCAUAUGAAUAAGGAUCGGCUAACUCCGUGCCAGCAGCCGCGGUAAUACGGAGGAUCCGAGCGUUAUCCGGAUUUAUUGGGUUUAAAGGGAGCGUAGGUGGAUUGUUAAGUCAGUUGUGAAAGUUUGCGGCUCAACCGUAAAAUUGCAGUUGAAACUGGCAGUCUUGAGUACAGUAGAGGUGGGCGGAAUUCGUGGUGUAGCGGUGAAAUGCUUAGAUAUCACGAAGAACUCCGAUUGCGAAGGCAGUUCACUGGACUGCAACUGACACUGAGGCUCGAAAGUGUGGGUAUCAAACAGGAUUAGAUACCCGAGUAGUC
This 460-nucleotide ribosomal RNA is filed under the name uncultured bacterium. RNAcentral's name for it is "partial 16S ribosomal RNA". It matches the Rfam family "Bacterial small subunit ribosomal RNA", at positions 338 to 795 of the family's 1533-position model. The record is from RNAcentral.